GGAUGUGAAGGCGAUCUGGCUGCAACACCUGUCACCCCAUUGAUCGCCAGGGUUGAUUCGGCUGGCUAGGCAGGUACCCCCUUCCUUCCUCACUGCUCCAUGUGUGCCCCUCCUGAAGCUGCGCGCUGGGUCGAAGAGGACAACCUUCCUGGAAUAGAGGAGGACCUGUCUUCGGUCAAGGGUGUAUGAUUAGCUGUGCUCCCCUGCUAGAACCUCCAAAGAAGCUCUCAAGAAUGGGCUCAAAUAGUCCAGUGACUCAUCCUAACAUUUGACAAGGUUUCCAAAUAAAGCUUGGAAUUGUCAUGCCAGAAUCAAGAUGAGACUCGGAUUGUUACUAUCAGCUCUUUUU
RNAcentral lists this small nuclear RNA (349 nucleotides) under Jaculus jaculus (lesser Egyptian jerboa). RNAcentral's name for it is "7SK RNA (ENSJJAG00000002158.1)". The stretch from base 1 to 307 matches the Rfam family "7SK RNA". From Rfam's summary of the family: 7SK was discovered as an abundant small nuclear RNA in the mid-70s but a possible function has only recently been suggested. Two independent studies have found that 7SK RNA binds the CDK9/cyclin T complex (known as elongation factor P-TEFb). The record is from Rfam by way of RNAcentral. Lineage: Eukaryota; Metazoa; Chordata; Mammalia; Rodentia; Dipodidae.